This is a long non-coding RNA of Ochotona curzoniae (black-lipped pika), 838 nucleotides long. RefSeq lists it as uncharacterized. The transcript is spliced from 3 exons. NCBI's taxonomy places the organism in Eukaryota, Metazoa, Chordata, Mammalia, Lagomorpha, Ochotonidae. The record is from RefSeq and is a predicted model, not a curated record.
AGGGGUAGCCCUGAAGACCACUACAUGCUUCCCAGGUUGGAGAACACAAACUCUCCUUCAGGUACAGAAUUAUAAAGCCUGAUGAGAUCUUCAAUCUGGAGCAAGAAUCAAAAUGUGUAAACCAGCAAAUUCCAGGAAGCCUGAUGAAAAGCCAUUUGGGAAAAAACGUGCAUCUAAUGUACCUGAGAAACAACUCCAAAGUGAGGAAAAUCUCAGCAUGACAAGAUGCACACUUGUCAGCAAUGUUUGGAGCACAGAGUCGACAAGAAAACUUUCAGCAGUGGGAAGAAGAUAUUCAUUAUGCAUGAGAAAGUUUAUAUCAAAGACUCAGGUGAUAGGCCACCUGCCAUUGUAACAGAACCAAUUCUGAUUGAGAAGAUGUUCUACAAUCCUUAUUUUGGCAAGCAUCAGCAAACAUACUCAGGAGAGAAACUCCAUGAGCAUUUCAAUAGGGACAAAUCUUUUAUAUACAAAACCAACCUCAAAGUAAAUCAGAUAAGUCAUAUUGCAAAAAGUUAUUAUACAUGUUCCUAUUGUAAAAAAUCUUUCAGCUGUAAAUCUUGCCUUACAAUCACACAGACAACUGAAACAGGAGACAAUUUGUAUAUGUGCAAUGAAUGUAAGUCAGAAUUAAUUAGAGAGCAGAUCCUUCACAUUGGAGAGAAAUCGUAUGAAAGUAAUAAGCAUGGGAAAGCUAAUGAUAGGAAUUCAGUACUCCAUACACAUAAGUAAAUUCAAAAAGGGAAGGAAUCUUAUGAACACAGUGUGUGUGACAAAGCCUUUUUCAGUGAGACUGACCUCAUAACCGAUCAGAGAAUUCACCCAGGUGAAAAACCUU